UUAAGUUUUGGUUUAGGAUUAGUUUUGGGUUUAAUUUAGUGUUAUGUUUAGGUUAGGUUACGUUUAGGGUUAGGGUUAGGGUUAGGGUUAGGGUUAGGGUUAGGGUUAGGGUUAGGGUUAGGGUUAGGGUUAGGGUUAGGGUUAGGGUUAGGGUUAGGGUUAGGGUUAGGGUUAGGGUUAGGGUUAGGGUUAGGGUUAGGGUUAGGGUUAGGGUUAGGGUUAGGGUUCGUGUUACAUAUAGGUUUAAAUUUUGGUUAGGUUUAGGGUUAUGGUUAAGCUUAGGGUUAGUCUUAGG
Molecule: long non-coding RNA, 295 nt
Filed under: Lonchura striata (white-rumped munia)
Lineage: Eukaryota; Metazoa; Chordata; Aves; Passeriformes; Estrildidae
Description: domestica (Bengalese finch) lncRNA (ENSLSDG00000009327.1)
Source: RNAcentral